AGCGUGGAGACAGGUGGUGCAUGGCUGUCGUCAGCUCGUGUCGUGAGAUGUUGGGUUAAGUCCCGCAACGAGCGCAACCCUCACCCUUUGUUGCCAUCAGGUUAUGCUGGGCACUCUAAGGGAACUGCCUCGGUUAACGAGGAGGAAGGUGGGGAUGACGUCAAGUCAUCAUGCCCCUUACGCUCUGGGCUACACACGUGCUACAAUGGCCAAUACAAAGGGAUGCAACGCCGCGAGGCAGAGCCAAACCCAAAAAGCCGGUCUAAGUUCAGAUUGGAGUCUGCAACUCGACUCCAUGAAGGAGGAAUCGCUAGUAAUCGCGUAUCAGCACGACGCGGUGAAUACGUUCCCGGGCCUUGUACACACCGCCCGUCACACCACGAAAGCCAGCUGUACUCGAAGUCGCUGAG
This 410-nucleotide ribosomal RNA is filed under the name uncultured Methylomirabilota bacterium. Its description in RNAcentral is "bacterial SSU rRNA". It matches the Rfam family "Bacterial small subunit ribosomal RNA", at positions 1025 to 1434 of the family's 1533-position model. Lineage: Bacteria; Methylomirabilota (SeqCode). The record is from RNAcentral.